RNAcentral lists this ribosomal RNA (467 nucleotides) under uncultured bacterium. RNAcentral describes it as "partial 16S ribosomal RNA". It matches the Rfam family "Bacterial small subunit ribosomal RNA", at positions 28 to 507 of the family's 1533-position model. The record is from RNAcentral.
GAUGAACGCUGGCGGCGUGCUUAACACAUGCAAGUCGAACGGAAAGGCCCAAGCUUGCUUGGGUACUCGAGUGGCGAACGGGUGAGUAACACGUGGGUGAUCUGCCCUGCACUUCGGGAUAAGCCUGGGAAACUGGGUCUAAUACCGGAUAGGACCACUUCUUGGAUGUUGUGGUGGAAAGUUUUUUCGGUGUGGGAUGAGCUCGCGGCCUAUCAGCUUGUUGGUGGGGUAAUGGCCUACCAAGGCGUCGACGGGUAGCCGGCCUGAGAGGGUGUACGGCCACAUUGGGACUGAGAUACGGCCCAGACUCCUACGGGAGGCAGCAGUGGGGAAUAUUGCACAAUGGGCGCAAGCCUGAUGCAGCGACGCCGCGUGGGGGAUGACGGCCUUCGGGUUGUAAACUCCUUUCGCUAGGGACGAAGCGUUUUGUGACGGUACCUGGAGUAGAAGCACCGGCUAACUACGUG